RNAcentral lists this ribosomal RNA (453 nucleotides) under uncultured bacterium. RNAcentral describes it as "bacterial SSU rRNA". It matches the Rfam family "Bacterial small subunit ribosomal RNA", at positions 28 to 507 of the family's 1533-position model. The record is from RNAcentral.
GAUGAACGCUGGGCGGCGUGCCUAACACAUGCAAGUCGAGCGAUUCUCUUCGGAGAAGAGCGGCGGACGGGUGAGUAACGCGUGGGUAACCUGCCCUGUACACACGGAUAACAUACCGAAAGGUAUGCUAAUACGAGAUAAUAUGCUUUUAUCGCAUGGUAGAAGUAUCAAAGCUUUUGCGGUACAGGAUGGACCCGCGUCUGAUUAGCUAGUUGGUAAGGUAACGGCUUACCAAGGCGACGAUCAGUAGCCGACCUGAGAGGGUGAUCGGCCACAUUGGAACUGAGACACGGUCCAAACUCCUACGGGAGGCAGCAGUGGGGAAUAUUGCACAAUGGGCGAAAGCCUGAUGCAGCAACGCCGCGUGAGCGAUGAAGGCCUUCGGGUCGUAAAGCUCUGUCCUCAAGGAAGAUAAUGACGGUACUUGAGGAGGAAGCCCCGGCUAACUACGUG